Molecule: unclassified non-coding RNA, 377 nt
Filed under: Hevea brasiliensis (rubber tree)
Lineage: Eukaryota; Viridiplantae; Streptophyta; Magnoliopsida; Malpighiales; Euphorbiaceae
Source: RNAcentral
GUCUACCCUCUUUCUCUACGCAAUUCCUUCUUUUGCUUUCUUGCUUGAGCGAGUGGAAUACUAGUAACGAGCGAACGGAGCGUGCGAGCGAACUAGAUGUAGCGAGAGCUAGAGAUAGACUGAUUCUCUUAUUCAAUUUCGUGCUUCAUUCUCUAUAAUGAUCUUCUGAAAGAUAUACCUAUAGUAGAUCCACCGAUAGGCUGAGGGCCGUUAAGAGUAGGCUUGUAUCAGUAGAGAUAGUUCAAGACUGUCUAGGGCUCCUGCCCCGGCGAGGUUGAGUAGCCGAACCACUCAAUCGGUCUUCUUUUUAUAGUGUUCUUACUCUUAGGAUAGAGCUUCAGUGUCCGAGCCCGAUCUCUUCCUCUUAUUGGUUUAUA